CCUUGCUGCAGUCAAGAAUAUUAUUCACAAGCGUAGGUUCUGACCUUGGUCAGGUGUCAGAACCAACCUUUCAACAUACAGAUUGUUCAUAGAAAUAAAUCCACCAAUAUAAUCGUUCGACUAUAGUUAUACUUCGCAGAUAAGGAGGCACGACAAAUACAUACACUGUCGGCAAGGUAAAAAAAAAACAUUACGAAAUAAACUUUUUUUUUAAUUUUUUUUUUUUAUGAACAUGAAAUGAAUGAUAACAUUAUGUUACACAGCCGGUAAAAAAAUCUGACAAGCUAUACAAUUUAUAUUACAAGCUCAGCCUUCCACUGUCGCUACCAAUUUUCUCGAGAUUAAGAUAAAAUCAAAGUAAUGAGAUGCGGAAGUUCGAAAAUGAAAUGAAAGGUCCUAAAGCUAGCAAAUCGGGGGGACUCUAGUAAAGCUGGGCCCCACGUUGGGCGCCAAUGCAACGUAAAUGGGUUUUCGUGUGUAAACGUAUUCUCAUUCAUAAUCUGUCUCAUGACAUUAAACCCUGCUAGCUCAGCCAUUUACGUUACUGGUAGAGAGGGUUCGGCCUGUGCUUUCGCUCCAGGACUUCUGACAGCAUACUGACAAUACAACGAAACAGUAAAUUCAAUAAUGACAGGAAUAAGAAACCUAAAAAUGACCAGUGAUGACGAUUUGCCAAGCAAUGUAUUUGCUCAUAUAACAAAUGACCAAAAUUCAUAAAACAGUUUCAUAUUUAAUAGACAAAGACAAC
RNAcentral lists this long non-coding RNA (748 nucleotides) under Mytilus galloprovincialis (Mediterranean mussel). The record is from RNAcentral. Lineage: Eukaryota; Metazoa; Mollusca; Bivalvia; Mytilida; Mytilidae.